GACGUAGGGCGCGAGCGUUGUCCGGAUUUAUUGGGCGUAAAGAGCUCGUAGGCGGCUUGUUGCGUCAGCUGUGAAAACCCGCAGCUCAACUGUGGGCUUGCAGCUGAUACGGGCAGGCUUGAGUUCGGUAGGGGAGACUGGAAUUCCUGGUGUAGCGGUGAAAUGCGCAGAUAUCAGGAGGAACACCGGUGGCGAAGGCGGGCU
This 204-nucleotide ribosomal RNA is filed under the name uncultured bacterium. RNAcentral describes it as "partial 16S ribosomal RNA". It matches the Rfam family "Bacterial small subunit ribosomal RNA", at positions 524 to 727 of the family's 1533-position model. The record is from RNAcentral.